UAGAAUUAUUUAUUUAUAUAAUUUUAUAAUCAUUAUAUUUUAUCAUGGAAAAAAUUUAAACCUUGGUCACAAAAGUUGAUGGAAAACUUUUAAAAGUUUUAUUAAUUUAUACUCGUUUUGAAUAAUUCAAAAUACGAUAUAUACAAAAAAAUCUAAAUUUUUAUUAUAUAACUAAUCUAAUUGUGUAAUUUAUUUUAAAAACAAAUAAUUAAACAAAAAUGAUAGAAAAUAUACAGAUUAUUAGCAAAUUUUUAUUAUUUAAAAAUAAAUAAUUAACGUCUAUAUUUUUCUUCGGUGCACAAACGUCUCCACUUUUUAUAUUUACUAUGAUAAGAUCUGCUUUUCGCACAAGGUAAAUUUAUAUAAAAAAUAUUAUAUGAAAAACUAAAGUUUAUAUUCUUGAUCGAAUUAAUAUUUUUGACCCUUAAAACAUUUUUUAAUUUUUUUUUGUUAAUUACAUAAUUUGUUUAUUGAUGAAUUUAUCUCAUUUUUAAAAAUAUUUUAGGUCAAAAAAUCAGCUAUUGCAUAAGAACCUAAUGUUUAAACCUAAUCAUCUCAAGCCUACUAUUUGAUUACAACGAAACUAUGCCAGCACAAUUUUAUAUCAUGAUUUAACAAUUUAAAAGUUAAUUAUGGUUAUGAAAAGUUUAAGUUCACGUGUCAAUCAUACCUAUCUUUGAUAUUUUUUUUUUUAUUUUUGUAUCACAUUUUCAUUCUCGUUAUUGCUCGAUAUAAAUAUUGAUUUUUGGAUUUAUUCUCAUCUCGUUAUUUUGUUUUGGCCUGAAAUUUAGAAAAUGUUUAAGAUUUAAAAUUAUCAAAAAAAUACAUACUUAAGUUAAAAUAUGUGCCUUGUGCAGAAUGAAUCUAUAUAUAUAUAAAAUUGUCUGCCUCUCUCCUAGGCCAUCCAGCUGGAAACUCGCUCUCUGAGGGGUUGACACGUGUCCGCUUUUCCUGAAACGCGCCGCAUCAUUUAAACUUAUCAAUAAUGGGCCUUAUUUCUUCGUGCUGGGCUUAAGUUUGCUCACUAAUAUUGUAUUUUUUUUUUGGGGUUUAAAAAAAUAUUAUAUUCACGGGCUUUACCUUUUGGGCUUAAAAAAUAUUAUGUUCACUAACAUUACUUUUGGGUUUAAAAAAUCAACGCAAGCUCACAACAUUUUCACGUUUUCCGUUCUCCUUCUUUGUUGAUGUCGACUGUAAAUUCUGGUUCUUCGUAUUUUCAAGCUCCAAAAGGUCAAACUACAAUAGAAGUUCUUUAAUAUCUGUGUCGAUCUUCGUUCCUGUCGUUUCGUCUGCAAUAAAUAUCUUCUGCUUCAUAACUGGAUGAAGUGCUCCAUCGCCAUUAAGAGCUUUCUUAACUCCUUGGACCCACACAAACCACGAUUCCUCAUUCAAUGUUUUUUAUCCCCUAUGAGUCGGUGAAACUCGACCUAUAAAAAGGUCGGCUGAUGGGUUUCAAACGAGAGGUUUAGAUCAUCAGAGAAGAGACGGAAACGAUCUGUGACGACGAAGGAGGAGAGAAAAGAUUUGACGGUGGAUUUCAUGCGAGUUUGUUGCCUGAGGCAUAGAUUGCCGUAGCAGUUGGAGCAAAGAUUCAUGGUUGCGGAGAGGAAACCCCAGUUGUUAGAACAGAGAUGGUGGCCUUCGGCGUUUGACAUCGAUGAUCUUCCGCUAUAGAUCUUGAGAGAAAGUUCAAGGCUUUAAAUCGAAAUUGGAAAAAAGACAUCUGAUUUAAAGAAUCAACGAACCUGCAGAAUUUAAAAAAAACAUAAUAUGAUACGAACCGGACAGAGACGAGAAGGAAACGUUGAGAUAAAUAGAGAGCCAGCUUCAAUCUUCUCACAAAUCGACUCCCUUAUCAGAAACAAAAUCUCAUUCUUUUGGGAUCAAAAUGAGAAAUUCGCAUCUGAAACUAUGCAAUUCUGGUUUUCGGUUUUACAUCUGAUGACCACCAUUGUCGAUUAAUCACCUUCUAUCGGGCUUCUUCAAACUAAGGAAAGAGGCUCCUCUUCUUGAGCUUUGUAUUCGGGCUUUCUCUUCUUCGCUUUAUUUAUUGGGUAUUUUCAUAUCUCAAAUUUGGGCCAUAUUAACUCUUCGGGUUUCUUAUUUCAGUUAUGCCUUAAGAUUCUGAGCAUGAGAUUAUCUAGAGCUUAUAAUAUUUUGUAAUCUCUUGCUACUUUUAUAUCAAUGUACCAUUUUUUUUA
Brassica napus (rape) is the source of this 2201-nucleotide long non-coding RNA. RefSeq lists it as uncharacterized. NCBI's taxonomy places the organism in Eukaryota, Viridiplantae, Streptophyta, Magnoliopsida, Brassicales, Brassicaceae. The record is from RefSeq and is a predicted model, not a curated record. The transcript is spliced from 2 exons.